GCCUUUAGGAAGUUUUAAAUAUCUUCUGAGAACGAGGAGAAAUAUGGACAUGUUGGCCAAGCUGGCCAUUUUCAUGGUGGAUCUCACACUUGCUUUGGCCACUUUUGGUCUCCUCUAUGCUGUUUCCUUAAUAGCAACCACAGCUAUAUUCAUCCUCAUCCUCUUCUAUUUUUUCAAAGGGAUGGACAAACACUGUGACUUCAGCAAGGGAAGAGUCCGAGCACUAGAUUCAAGCAGUGCUACUGGGAAGGCAUUUGCGAGCAACAUGGGGAGAGUCAGUUCUGGGAUGCUCCCCAUCCAUUUUCCAGCUGCAAGAGAAGAGGCACGAGGAGUGUGUUUUUGUCUGCCAGAGAGUGAGGAGCCCUCUGUGGUGGAGGAAAGGUGCGAGAGGACCUGCCGGAAUGCCGCACCCACCCAACUGACAGGUAUUCUGUUUUACUGCAUUUUGCCUACAAAGCGGCAUUAUCGCUGUGCAUUGAUUGCCCUGGAACAUGGUGCAGAUGUCAACAACUCUACCUAUGAAGGAAAACCAAUAUUUCUUAGAGCUUGUGAAGAAGCACAUGAUGUUAAAGACACGUGCCUGACAUUUUUGGAAAAAGGAGCCAAUCCGAAUGCUAUCAACUCAUCCACAGGUCGAACUGCUUUAAUGGAAGCAUCAAGAGAAGGAGUGACAGAACUAGUUCGAGGGAUAUUGGAAAGAGGAGGUGAAGUGAAUGCCUUUGACAAUGAGAGAAAACAAGCUGCACAUUUUGCUGCCCAAGGAGGCUUUUUUGAUAUAUUGAAGCUUCUUUUUGCUUACAACGGAGACAUGGGGCUGAUUGCAAUGAAUGGGAACACACCACUUCAUUAUGCUGCCAUGGGUGGUUUUGCAGAUUGCUGUAAAUAUAUAGCUCAGCGAGGAUGUGACCUGAAAUGGAAGAACUUGGAUCAUAAAACGCCCAGGACUGUGGCCAAGGAAGGCGGCUUCAAAGCAGCAAGCAAAGAAAUACGGCGGGCAGAGCGAAUCGCCAAUAAACUGGCGAGGCCAGGAGCCAAAAAUCCAAAUCCACUCUGGGCCCUGAGACUUCACGACUGGUCGCUGGAACAUGAGACGUUCCUUCGGGAAGCAUUUUCAUUUGUGGACAGAGGCGACGGGACAGUCAGCAAAGAGGACUUCGUGUUGACGCUGGAGGAGAGGCAAGAAUAUGUGACCUCAGAACAGCUGGCUACCAUAGCUCAGUAUCACGAAAAAGUGCGGGGAGCUGGGGUCAACAUUAAUGAUUUCUUUAAAGGAACCAAGUACUUGAGUAAGUCUUACGUCUUGGGAUCCUAUGGGCCUAAGAAGAAGAAAAAAGGAAUGGCCAAAAAGCCAAAGAAAGGCAAGUUUGUCUUACCUCUCCCAAUCUGCAUCAUUCCUGACCACGUGUUUCCCCACUGGGCCGACGGCGGGCCACCUUAUUACAUGAUUGAAACCUAUAAGAAUGUAACAGACAGCAGUCGGUUUAACCGAGACCGGCCACCGGAACAUCCCAUUCAGGAUGACUCUGCUUGGUACAUUGAUGACCCACCGAAGGUAUUUUCAAAUAUUAAUUUCAUCACCAAGGCAGGAGACCUGGCAUCUCUGAAAAAGGCGUUUGAAUCAGGAAUCCCUGUGGAUAUGAAGGAUAAUUAUUACAAAACGCCACUGAUGACCGCGUGUGCCACUGGAAACAUAGAUGCCGUCAAGUUUCUUCUUGACAAAGGGGCUAACGUUAAUGCAACAGAUAAUUUCCUGUGGACUCCGCUUCAUUUUGCAUGCCACGCAGGCCAGCAAGACAUCGUCGAGCUUCUUGUUCAAGCUGGAGCGACGAUCGAUGCCGUCUCCAUCAACAACUCCACUCCUUUGUCUAGAGCCAUCGAGAGCUGUCGACUGGAUACCGUCAAGUACCUCCUUGAUAUCGGCGCUAAAUUCCAGCUGGAAAAUAGAAAAGGACAUACUGCCAUGGAUGUUGCAAAGGCGUAUGCUGACUAUAGAAUAAUUAGUUUGAUUCAAGAAAAGCUGGAUAAUUUGCCAAAACCAGCAGAAAGUCAAAAACUGAAAGGCAAGCCCCCUCCUAAAGCGAAGACUGAAGGCCCUGAGGUUAAGAAAGAGGAGGAACCACUUUUAUCUGUUUACACCAUACCAACUGUAUCAGAGAAAAAGAAAAUGCAUAAGGAUAAUGUGGUUUAUCUCAAUUCUUUGAUUACCAGUGGUUAUACCAAGAAAGUGGAUAUCACAUUUAUUCCACGGAGGAUCUGGAGUCCUGAAGCCACAACAGCAGAGCUGAUCAGGAAAAGGGAGCUGCGGCGAGAAAGGUUCACUUAUGAGGUAGACUUUGAGGACUUCAUGAUGCCCUUUCAGAAGCACAUCACAGAAAAAGCUAAAGCCUUGGAAGCCGCCCUCAAGAUCUAAAUCACAGCAAUUACUUCUUGGGGUCAACAUUUCAAGGCCCAGGGAUUCUACUACAGAGAAAGGAAUGCUCCCAGAAGAGACUUUUCAGGACAUGAUGGAUGCUGAUAAAUAGGAGGAGGACCUAAGGAAGAGAAAGUUAGAUUCAGCCUGACUCCAGGGGGUAGUUGUACCCUGCA
Molecule: RNA transcript, 2586 nt
Organism: Neogale vison (American mink)
Lineage: Eukaryota; Metazoa; Chordata; Mammalia; Carnivora; Mustelidae
Gene: ANKEF1
Gene name: ankyrin repeat and EF-hand domain containing 1
Exons: 10
Source: RefSeq, a predicted model, not a curated record